CGCUGGCGGCGUGCUUAACACAUGCAAGUCGAACGAGAAUCUGUGGAAAGAGGAUUCGUCCAAUUGAAGCAGAGGACAGUGGCGGACGGGUGAGUAACGCGUGAGGAACCUGCCUUUCAGAGGGGGACAACAGUUGGAAACGACUGCUAAUACCGCAUAACAUAUAGAUGUCGCAUGGCAUUUAUAUCAAAGAUUUAUCGCUGAAAGAUGGCCUCGCGUCUGAUUAGCUAGUUGGUGAGGUAACGGCCCACCAAGGCGACGAUCAGUAGCCGGACUGAGAGGUUGAACGGCCACAUUGGGACUGAGAUACGGCCCAGACUCCUACGGGAGGCAGCAGUGGGGAAUAUUGGGCAAUGGGCGCAAGCCUGACCCAGCAACGCCGCGUGAAGGAAGAAGGCUUUCGGGUUGUAAACUUCUUUUGUCAGGGAAGAGUAGAAGACGGUACCUGACGAAUAAGCCACGGCUAACUACGUG
Molecule: ribosomal RNA, 474 nt
Filed under: uncultured bacterium
Lineage: Bacteria
Description: bacterial SSU rRNA
Rfam family: Bacterial small subunit ribosomal RNA
Source: RNAcentral